RNAcentral lists this ribosomal RNA (263 nucleotides) under uncultured archaeon. RNAcentral's name for it is "partial 16S ribosomal RNA". It matches the Rfam family "Archaeal small subunit ribosomal RNA", at positions 718 to 982 of the family's 1478-position model. The record is from RNAcentral.
CACGACUACAUUAGAUACCCCUGUAGUCCUAGCCGUAAACGAUACUCGCUAGGUGUCGGCCACGGUGCGACCGUUGUCGGUGCCGUAGGGAAGCCGUGAAGCGAGCCACCUGGGAAGUACGGCCGCAAGGCUGAAACUUAAAGGAAUUGGCGGGGAGCACAACAACGGGUGGAGCUUGCGGUUUAAUUGGAUUCAACGCCGGAAAUCUUACCGGGACCGACAGCAACAUGAAGGCCAAGCUGAAGACUUUGCCGGAUUAGCUG